This is a small nuclear RNA of Sorex araneus (European shrew), 121 nucleotides long. The record is from Ensembl. Lineage: Eukaryota; Metazoa; Chordata; Mammalia; Eulipotyphla; Soricidae.
GUGCUCGCUUUGUCAUAUAUAUUAAAAUUGCACAUAUAUUAAAAUUGGAAUGAUACAGAGAAGAUUAGCAUGGCCCCUGCACAAGGAUGACACGCACAUCCAUGAAGCGUUUCAUAUUAAA